CUAUUGCCCAACAGGCAGCCCAGAGCCCAAACCCUGUCCCUCUGGGAAAUACCAGGACCAGACUGGUCAAAGCCUGUGCAAGACGUGCCCAGCAGGAAAGUUCUGUGGCCCAGAAGUCCAAAUCCAAGAUCACAAUGAGACCUUUUCACAUGGAACGAUCAAGCCAACAGAUUGCCCGGCUGGAUACUACUGCCUCUCAGGAACUAAAGCUGCCAAGCAGUACCCAUGCCCCGAGGGCACCUUCAGUAACCAGACUGGGCUGAGCAAUUCCAAGGACUGCAGGGCUUGCCCUGGGGGGAAAUUCUGUGCAGAUGCAGGCCUCUUGACCCCGAGUGGCCCUUGUUUGCCCAGGUAUUACUGCAUUUUGAAGGCACGUGUACCUAAUCCUGUUAAAGAUGAAACUGGAGACUUGUGCCCAGCAGGACACUUCUGCCCA
Molecule: long non-coding RNA, 436 nt
Organism: Mauremys reevesii (Reeves's turtle)
Lineage: Eukaryota; Metazoa; Chordata; Testudines; Geoemydidae
Exons: 3
Source: RefSeq, a predicted model, not a curated record